UUUUCUUUCAUUAAAUCCUUUUAUAUUUGGGCUUGCCUAUUAAAGAAGGAUAAAGUCCAAAUCAAAUUAUAAUAUUUGGGCCCUAUUUUCAGUUCUAAAAAGCAGCCCAAAGAGAUAUUUUUAUUCACCACGAUCCCACUUCUUUUCCGUUACAAACGUGAUUCUGUUCCACUAAAUGCACUUUUAAAUCCCACAAUGAAUCCCAACAAUGUUGCUAUCAUAUAACCUACUCCAUUCACUUUUCUUGAUUUCAUCAAUGGCGGCCGAUUCAUCAUCUUCCGAUGCCAAAGUCCACAUAAUUUACACCGAACAGCAGGGAUGGCGGACAACGGCUGCUCGGCUGAAUGGCGGUGACAGCAGCAGCGGAUGGCGGAGCAGCAGCGUCCGUGCUGCAGCGGGGAUCUCAGCGGCUGUCUCGAUCUGGAGCAGCGGCGGCUGACCCGGCAGCGACGACGCCGACAGAUCUUGGACAGCAGCGGCGCUGACUCCGUGUUAGCGGCGGCGACCACGGCGAUGAAAACGGCUUCGAAACGACAGCGGGGCAGGUCAAGGGCAGUCUGACGAAGCGAUUCAUGGAGAUGCAGCGACGGCUGGAGUCCGCGAGGGCGGCGGCGUCUCGCACGCCAGUGAGCGGUGGAGGAAAAAGGCGAGGGCGGCGCCAGAGUUUCGCGAUGAUGAUGACGGGGUGCGACUCGGGCAGCGCUGAAAUUUCGUUGAGAAGAGAGGGAACGCAGCAGCGAGAUCGAUGGAGAGAUGAAGGAGGGAAGCGAGUUCUUUUUCAAGUUUUGGAUCGGAGAUGUCGACGAAUUUGAGAGAGAGCAGCAACGAAAAGUAGAGAGGCGGCGGUGGCUGGAGAGGAGAGAGAUACGGGUGAGGAGAGAGUGAGAGGGUUUAGUUUCUCUGAAUUUGGGAAUUCUCAAUUAGGAAGAAAUGAGAGAGAAAUAGGUGAUGCUGCCAAUUUGAUAGUAUUUGAGAGCGUGAAGAGAGAAGAUGGGGAUUGGACUCUGAAUUGGAAAUUUCGAAUGGGAAGAAAUUGAGGAGAGAGAAAUGGGCGUGAGUUUUGGAGAAGAAAGCAUUUGGGGAGUUUUAGCUCCUUUUAUUUCUUCUUGGGCCUUUUUAAAUAGGUGGGUUAGGGAGUAUUAAAUUGGGCUGCUUUUGAUAAAUGAUAGACCAACAUAUUGAUCUAAGUGUUGGGCUGAAGGAGAAGGAUGCACAGACUGCUCUAAUUAAAUCCUGGGAAUGCGAAACUAGCCGGACAAAGAUGACGUUCUAAGUCACGAAAAAUUUCAGAAUUUCGUAAAUAUGGUGUGAUUUCUGCAUGAUAUUUGAGAACGGAACGGAAAGACAAAGUAGAGGAUUUAAGCGAAUGAGGUUGAGCGUUGGUGAAAACGGAGGAUGUUGAGCAUUUGGACAAAGACCGUAUUCAAUAAAUGUUCCGGUUGCUAUUGUGUCUUCACACAUAGUAGUAACCAACUCUCAAAUGCUUCCGCUACUCUAAGUUUAAAACUCUGAUGUUGCUGUAUUCUGUUGGACUAUUUUCAUACCAACUUUUGUGCUUCGUGAUUUCAGACUAUGUUUUGGUAAUAAAGUUUUACCUUUUGAUCUAAA
This is a long non-coding RNA of Salvia splendens (bonfire salvia), 1608 nucleotides long. RefSeq lists it as uncharacterized. The record is from RefSeq and is a predicted model, not a curated record. NCBI's taxonomy places the organism in Eukaryota, Viridiplantae, Streptophyta, Magnoliopsida, Lamiales, Lamiaceae. The transcript is spliced from 2 exons.